RNAcentral lists this ribosomal RNA (496 nucleotides) under uncultured bacterium. RNAcentral describes it as "partial 16S ribosomal RNA". It matches the Rfam family "Bacterial small subunit ribosomal RNA", at positions 28 to 506 of the family's 1533-position model. The record is from RNAcentral.
GAUGAACGCUGGCGGCGUGCCUAAUACAUGCAAGUCGAGCGAACAGAUGAGGAGCUUGCUCCUCUGACGUUAGCGGCGGACGGGUGAGUAACACGUGGAUAACCUACCUAUAAGACUGGGAUAACUUCGGGAAACCGGAGCUAAUACCGGAUAAUAUAUUGAACCGCAUGGUUCAAUAGUGAAAGACGGUUUUGCUGUCACUUAUAGAUGGAUCCGCGCCGCAUUAGCUAGUUGGUAAGGUAACGGCUUACCAAGGCAACGAUGCGUAGCCGACCUGAGAGGGUGAUCGGCCACACUGGAACUGAGACACGGUCCAGACUCCUACGGGAGGCAGCAGUAGGGAAUCUUCCGCAAUGGGCGAAAGCCUGACGGAGCAACGCCGCGUGAGUGAUGAAGGUCUUCGGAUCGUAAAACUCUGUUAUUAGGGAAGAACAAAUGUGUAAGUAACUAUGCACGUCUCGACGGUACCUAAUCAGAAAGCCACGGCUAACUACGU